CCGGAGGGCUGGGAAUAAUCUAUUAUAUCAUGUGCGGGGUAAAAGCCCCCAAGGCUAUGAUAAUACUGGUUUAGAGGAUGAACAGCCACAUGGGAUUGAGAUACGGCCCAUAUUCCUACGGGAAGCAGCAGUAGGGAAUCUUCCACAAUGGACGAAAGUCUGAUGGAGCCCAUGGACCUCAAGGUCUUUUUGAUUGUAAAGUUCUUUUCUCAGGAAAAACAACUGAUAGUACCUCAUGGAUAAA
RNAcentral lists this ribosomal RNA (244 nucleotides) under uncultured Mycoplasma sp. RNAcentral's name for it is "partial 16S ribosomal RNA". It matches the Rfam family "Bacterial small subunit ribosomal RNA", at positions 211 to 490 of the family's 1533-position model. Lineage: Bacteria; Bacillati; Mycoplasmatota; Mollicutes; Mycoplasmatales; Mycoplasmataceae. The record is from RNAcentral.